UGAGGAAUAUUGCGCAAUGGGCGAAAGCCUGACGCAGCAACGCCGCGUGAGGGACGAAGGCCUUCGGGUCGUAAACCUCUUUUCUGGGGAAAGAGACAGGACGGUACCUCAGGAAUAAGUCUCGGCUAACUACGUGCCAGCAGCCGCGGUAAAACGUAGGAGGCGAGCGUUAUCCGGCUUUACUGGGCGUAAAGAGCACGCAGGCGGCUUCGUAAGUCGGAUGUGAAAGCUCCCGGCUUAACUGGGAGAGGCCAUUCGAUACUACGAGGCUUGAGGUUGGGAGAGGGGUGUGGAAUUCCGGGUGUAGUGGUGGAAUGCGUAGAUAUCGGGAGGAACACCUGUGGCGAAAGCGGCACCCUGGCCCACACCUGACGCUGAGGGGCGAAAGCGUGGGGAGCAAACAG
RNAcentral lists this ribosomal RNA (404 nucleotides) under uncultured bacterium. Its description in RNAcentral is "bacterial SSU rRNA". It matches the Rfam family "Bacterial small subunit ribosomal RNA", at positions 355 to 775 of the family's 1533-position model. The record is from RNAcentral.